AAUAGAUACCCCGGUAGUCCACGCCGUAAACGGUGGGCACUAGGUGUGGGCGACAUUCCACGUCGUCCGUGCCGCAGCUAACGCAUUAAGUGCCCCGCCUGGGGAGUACGGCCGCAAGGCUAAACUCAAAGGGAAUUGACGGGGGCCCGCACAAGCGGCGGAACAUGUGGCUUAAUUCGACGCAACGCGAAGAACCUUACCAAGGCUUGACAUACACCGGAAACGUCCAGAGAUGGGCGCCCCCUUGUGGUCGGUGUACAGGUGGUGCAUGGCUGUCGUCAGCUCGUGUCGUGAGAUGUUGGGUUAAGUCCCGCAACGAGCGCACCCCUUGUCCCGUGUUGCCAGCAGGCCCUUGUGGUGCUGGGGACUCACGGGAGACCGCCGGGGUCAACGUCGGAGGAAGGUGGGGACGACGUCAAGUCAUCAUGCCCCUUAUGUCUUGGGCUGCACACGUGCUACAAUGGCCGGUACAAUGAGCUGCGAUACCGCGAGGUGGAGCGAAUCUCAAAAACGCCGGUCUCAGUUCGGAUUGGGAUCUGCAACG
This 544-nucleotide ribosomal RNA is filed under the name uncultured bacterium. Its description in RNAcentral is "bacterial SSU rRNA". It matches the Rfam family "Bacterial small subunit ribosomal RNA", at positions 777 to 1312 of the family's 1533-position model. The record is from RNAcentral.